AGAGUUUGAUCCUGGCUCAGAAUCAACGCUGGCGGCGUGCCUAACACAUGCAAGUCGAACGAGAAAAUGGAGCAAUCCAUGAGUAAAGUGGCGCACGGGUGAGUAACACGUGACUAACCUACCCUUGAGUGGGGGAUAACCUGGGGAAACCUUGGCUAAUACCGCAUAACACCUACGGGUCAAAGGAGCAAUUCGCUUAAGGAGGGGGUCGCGGCAGAUUAGUUAGUUGGCGGGGUAAUGGCCCACCAAGACAGUGAUCUGUAUCCGGCCUGAGAGGGCGCACGGACACACUGGAACUGAAACACGGUCCAGACUCCUACGGGAGGCAGCAGUGGGGAAUUUUGCGCAAUGGGGGAAACCCUGACGCAGCAACGCCGCGUGGAGGAUGAAGUCCCUUGGGACGUAAACUCCUUUCGACCGGGACGAUAAUGACGGUACCGGAAGAAGAAGCCCCGGCUAACUUCGUGCCAGCAGCCGCGGUAAUACGAGGGGGGCGAGCGUUGUUCGGAAUUAUUGGGCGUAAAGGGUGCGUAGGCGGUUCGGUAAGUUUUGUGUGAAAUCUUCGGGCUUAACUCGAAGCCUGCACAAGAUACUGCCGGGCUAGAGUGUGGGAGAGGUGAGUGGAAUUUCCGGUGUAGCGGUGAAAUGCGUAGAUAUCGGAAGGAACACCUGUGGCGAAAGCGGCUCACUGGACCACAACUGACGCUGAUGCACGAAAGCUAGGGGAGCAAACAGGAUUAGAUACCCUCGUAGUCC
This 756-nucleotide ribosomal RNA is filed under the name uncultured bacterium. Its description in RNAcentral is "bacterial SSU rRNA". It matches the Rfam family "Bacterial small subunit ribosomal RNA", at positions 8 to 796 of the family's 1533-position model. The record is from RNAcentral.